RNAcentral lists this ribosomal RNA (694 nucleotides) under uncultured bacterium. Its description in RNAcentral is "bacterial SSU rRNA". It matches the Rfam family "Bacterial small subunit ribosomal RNA", at positions 111 to 823 of the family's 1533-position model. The record is from RNAcentral.
UAACGCGUGGGUAACCUGCCUUGUACUGGGGGACAACAGUUGGAAACGACUGCUAAUACCGUAUAAGCGCACAGCUUCGCAUGAAGCAGUGUGAAAAACUCCGGUGGUACAAGAUGGACCCGCGUCUGAUUAGCUGGUUGGUGAGGUAACGGCCCACCAAGGCGACGAUCAGUAGCCGGCCUGAGAGGGUGAACGGCCACAUUGGGACUGAGACACGGCCCAAACUCCUACGGGAGGCAGCAGUGGGGAAUAUUGCACAAUGGGGGAAACCCUGAUGCAGCAACGCCGCGUGAGUGAAGAAGUAUUUCGGUAUGUAAAGCUCUAUCAGCAGGAAAGAAAAUGACGGUACCUGACUAAGAAGCCCCGGCUAACUACGUGCCAGCAGCCGCGGUAAUACGUAGGGGGCAAGCGUUAUCCGGAUUUACUGGGUGUAAAGGGAGCGUAGACGGUUUUGCAAGUCUGAAGUGAAAGCCCGGGGCUUAACCCCGGGACUGCUUUGGAAACUGUAGAACUAGAGUGCAGGAGAGGUAAGUGGAAUUCCUAGUGUAGCGGUGAAAUGCGUAGAUAUUAGGAGGAACACCAGUGGCGAAGGCGGCUUACUGGACUGUAACUGACGUUGAGGCUCGAAAGCGCGGGGAGCAAACAGGAUUAGAUACCCUGGUAGUCCACGCCGUAAACGAUGAUUACUAGGUGU